This 253-nucleotide ribosomal RNA is filed under the name uncultured bacterium. Its description in RNAcentral is "partial 16S ribosomal RNA". It matches the Rfam family "Bacterial small subunit ribosomal RNA", at positions 524 to 776 of the family's 1533-position model. The record is from RNAcentral.
UACGUAGGGUGCAAGCGUUAAUCGGAAUUACUGGGCGUAAAGCGUGCGCAGGCGGUUCCAUAAGACAGAUGUGAAAUCCCCGGGCCCAACCUGGGAACUGCAUUUGUGACUGUGGGGCUAGAGUACGGUAGAGGGGGAUAGAAUUCCGCGUGUAGCAGUGAAAUGCGUAGAUAUGCGGAGGAACACCAAUGGCGAAGGCAAUCCCCUGGACCUGUACUGACGCUCAUGCACGUAAGCGUGGGGAGCAAACAGG